This 552-nucleotide ribosomal RNA is filed under the name uncultured bacterium. RNAcentral's name for it is "bacterial SSU rRNA". It matches the Rfam family "Bacterial small subunit ribosomal RNA", at positions 147 to 710 of the family's 1533-position model. The record is from RNAcentral.
CUCCUGGAAACGGGUGGUAAUGCCGGAUGCUCCGACAUGACGCAUGUCGUGUUGGGAAAGAUUCAUCGGUAUGGGAUGGGGUCGCGUCCUAUCAGCUUGAUGGCGGGGUAACGGCCCACCAUGGCUUCGACGGGUAGCCGGCCUGAGAGGGCGACCGGCCACAUUGGGACUGAGAUACGGCCCAGACUCCUACGGGAGGCAGCAGUGGGGAAUAUUGCACAAUGGGCGCAAGCCUGAUGCAGCGACGCCGCGUGCGGGAUGACGGCCUUCGGGUUGUAAACCGCUUUUGACUGGGAGCAAGCCCUUCGGGGUGAGUGUACCUUUCGAAUAAGCACCGGCUAACUACGUGCCAGCAGCCGCGGUAAUACGUAGGGUGCAAGCGUUAUCCGGAAUUAUUGGGCGUAAAGGGCUCGUAGGCGGUCCGUCGCGUCCGGUGUGAAAGUCCAUCGCUUAACGGUGGAUCCGCGCCGGGUACGGGCGGGCUUGAGUGCGGUAGGGGAGACUGGAAUUCCCGGUGUAACGGUGGAAUGUGUAGAUAUCGGGAAGAACACC